This 74-nucleotide transfer RNA is filed under the name bacterium. RNAcentral's name for it is "tRNA-Met". It matches the Rfam family "tRNA". Rfam says of the family: Transfer RNA (tRNA) molecules are approximately 80 nucleotides in length. Their secondary structure includes four short double-helical elements and three loops (D, anti-codon, and T loops). The record is from RNAcentral.
GGCUGAGUAGCUCAGUUGGUGAGAGCGCGGAGCUCAUACCUCCGAGGUCGACAGUUCGAAUCUGUCCUCAGCUA